This is a non-coding RNA of Alosa alosa (allis shad), 468 nucleotides long. NCBI's taxonomy places the organism in Eukaryota, Metazoa, Chordata, Actinopteri, Clupeiformes, Clupeidae. The record is from the annotation of a RefSeq genome assembly.
AUGCUGCUCUACUCAGUGCUACUCCUCACGGUCAGAGCAGUGUGCUCUGCAGAGGGGGACUCUGUUUCUCAACCUAAAGAUGAGACGGGUCUGGAGGGCAGCAUGGUGACACUCAGCUGUCAGUAUGACACCACUGCAGCAGCAGGUAAUACCCAUGGGAAAGAAAUCACUCCAAACAGUGUUGAACUUAUCAAGGUGGAGGGAGAUGAUUUAACCCUCUCCUGUAGCUACAGCUCUGGAAACUAUCUACAGUGGUAUCGGCAGUCCCCAAGAUCAGCACCCCAGUUUCUCUUGUUUAUCACCAGUCCUGAUACGCCAGGGACAUCAGAGGAGGAUACUCGAUUGUCUGGGAGAAUGAAUGAGGAGAGAAAUCAAAUGUUCCUGGACAUCUCAUCUGCUAAACUCACAGACUCUGCUCUCUACUACUGUGCCAUGAGGCCCACAAUGAAGGAAACAGGCACACUGUAG